Molecule: long non-coding RNA, 2549 nt
Organism: Apis cerana (Asiatic honeybee)
Lineage: Eukaryota; Metazoa; Arthropoda; Insecta; Hymenoptera; Apidae
Source: RefSeq, a predicted model, not a curated record
CCGUGCACGGAGCAAGCUCGCCCACUCUCAUCGGCCGGAAAACUGCUUUAUCAUCCUCCUGCACCACGAUGAUCUUGACAGUGACCGUAGCGAUCAAUGGCGCCGUCAAUUAGGCGAAUCGCGUACUCGAAUUUAUGGCUCAGUGGACAACAAUGUUUGAAAACGGCAAAUCACGCGUGAUUCUGAAAAUCUGUUAACCGUGAUCUAUCAAUAUAUUUUUAAAGAAUUGUUUCGUCCUAUUUUGAAUCUUCAUUCAAAUAUUUAAUUUAACUGAAAUUUUAUUAAACGACUGAUUGUUCAUGCAGAUUAUAUUUGUUUUGUGUUACGUAGAAGUGAAAACCUGUCGUGAAGAAUUAUGUGGAAAGCUUGAACAAGAUUUUAUUACGAACGUUUAAAAACAAGAUUGACAAAAUCGAUAUUAAGAAAUGUUUUUCAAAAAUAUAACGCAUUUUCCAAGAAACAAUUUGAAAUAUUUCUUUUCAGAAAAAUCUUUUGAAAAAAUUCGCUGAAAAAUUUAUAAUAACUAGAUUCGUUAACCUUUGUAAUUGAACUCUUUAUUUCUUUGAAACUUAUGGAGAAGAGCAAGUCCGUUUAUAAUAAAGUUAAUGCAUGAUUUUUAUUUCGUCUGCACAAAACGAGAUUCGAAACUUUGAAUAUGAUCGGAAACAAGGUGGAUCAAUUUAUUGCAAAUCUAUAGAACUAAAUUGUAUUGAAGAAACUAUAAUGAAAAAUGACAAAUGCUCGUCGAUAAUCGAUAAUAAAAAUACAGUACUGUUUCAAAUAAGUUUCGAAGCAUAAAAGUUCCAUUGGUUUACUGAAUGAUGCAAAUCGAGUUUCGCCACGUCGAAGGAAGAAAGCGUAAACGUUAAAUCGAACGAUAGACAGGGCGUCAGAAUCCGUGAGAACCCCCCCAGGAAACCGGAAGUGUACGAAAUUAGUCCAAUUUUGUGCGCGACAAGUGGAAAAACGUUGGCCAUUGGCGACUCCAUCGUUGUUCUCGAGGGCACACGCGUGCCGCAACGAGAAUCCGCUAGGUGACUCGCGUGUGUAUUCAUCGCUUGAACCCCGAUUAGCCUGCUAGAGGGCCUAAUAACAAGUAAUACCCUAGUCGCGUCAUCGAGCUUAAAGAGAUUUCGCAACAGCUCGCGAUCUCUUAUAUGUUCUAACUAUUUGACUGUCUAUUUGCUUGCUGAUCUAACAUUCUAACAUCGAUAAAAUGUUACGGUCAACAGAAUUGCAGAAAAAAAUAUCAGUUGAAAUCAAUGAUAAACAUUUAUAUGUACGUGACACGAUGAAAUGAAGAACGAAUGGCGUGUUUUCUACUCGGCGAUAAAUCUGUGGCUUCUUAUCUGUCAACAGAAGAUUACCACGAUCGUUUGGCGAUGUUGUAACAGCCUGACAGUACGGAAUGAACGGACAUUGCUAGACAUUUCUCCGAUGAACGAAUAUAUCACGUGAUCUAAACAUAUGCGUUCUCCGAACGUCAUUGCUUCGAUUCAUGACCUGUAGACACAUUGAUGUUUUUCAAUUUAACUCAGAUUUAAAUGUUUUUAUGUAUAUAUUAUUCAUAUACACGAAUCUUAAUUUAAUAUAAUACGGUUGAUGUAUGAGCCAAAUUAUGUUUGUAAAUAAAUACAUAAAUACAUAUAAAUCAAUAAGCGAAUCUAUUUUCAUUUCGUUGAUUUGUCACGAGUUAAAUUGAAAGACUUACACAAUUCUUGAUGCACAAAAGAAUAUUUACACAAAAUAACUCGUAAUUAAAAUAUAAAGAAACUUUUCUAAAGGUCAUAUAUUUUAAUAGGUUUAGAAAGUUUAUAUAGAUUUAGAAAAUUUAUCAAGAUUUCGAUAAAAAUCAUCUCUAUUUUUCGAUCAAUAAAAAUUAAUUUAAUUCAUUUAAAAAUUUCGAAAACGAAAGUAUAAUAAAAAUUUCUCUCUUAUAUGCCCAGAUACCUUAAUGAUUAUAAUUUUAAAAUACUUCGACUGUUGAACAACGCGAACUCGUAGGUAGACACAUUGGCUGCACACCUACGUAUUUCUAAAUAAGUCUUAUUCGUAGGUUGGUUGCAGUAUGGAAGCAAAAUUCAUAUCUUCUCCGAUCUAUUCGAUGAUUAUUAUUUUGUAUUAUUAUCUAAAUUCGAAUCUUUAUUGACAAGAAGAAUACAAUGUUUAUAAGAUGAUGAAUGUAUGUUUCUAUUAAUCUUUUUCACAAUAUUACCUACGUACAACUAUAUAUACCAAUAUUACGAAUAAAAACUGCACUUUUCAUUGACAAAUAUUUACAAUGAGUAUAUAUCAACACUCCUAGGAUGCUCUUAAAUACUGCAAUCACUGGCACAAGUUUCUCCUGAGUACAUAAUUUCUGAAUAUAUUUCUCCGCUUUAGUCUUUGCCACAGACUCUAUGCAGUACAUAAAUUCAGCAUGAAACCGGACUAUGGUUACAAUCUUACUGACAAAGUAUUGCGAUAUAACACGUACCACGUAGAUAACUUUAAUGGUAACACAUAUAACUUUAAAUUAAUAAAGACUAUUUGUUUGUUUUCCAAAUAAA